RNAcentral lists this ribosomal RNA (497 nucleotides) under uncultured bacterium. RNAcentral describes it as "partial 16S ribosomal RNA". It matches the Rfam family "Bacterial small subunit ribosomal RNA", at positions 28 to 507 of the family's 1533-position model. The record is from RNAcentral.
GAUGAACGCUGGCGGCGUGCCUAAUACAUGCAAGUCGAGCGGACAGACGCGGCGCUUGCGCCUCUCUCGUUAGCGGCGGGCGUGUGAGUAACGCGUGUAUCCCCUCCUUGUCAGUCUGGUAUCACUUCGGGACUCCGGCUCAAACCCCGUAGAAUAUAUUGCACCGCAUGGUUCAUUGGUGAGAGUCGGUUUUUCUGGCACUUCUCGCUGGAUCUGCGCCGCAUUAGCUAGUUGGUACGGUCACGGCUUACCAAGGGUACCAUGCGUAGCCGACCUGAGAGGGUGAUCGGCCACCCUGGAACUGAGACACGGUCCAGACGCCUACGGGAGGCAGCAGUAGGGAAUCUGCCGCAAUGGGCGAAAGCAUGACGGAGCAACGCCGCGUGAGUGAUGAAGGUCUUCGGAUCGUAAAACUCUGUUAUUAGGGAAGAACAAAUGUGUAAGUAACUAUGCACGUCUUGACGGUACCUAAUCAGAAAGCCACGGCUAACUACGUG